UAGCUAGUUGGUGAGGUAAUGGCCCACCAAGGCGACGAUCGGUAGCCGGACUGAGAGGUUGAACGGCCACAUUGGGACUGAGACACGGCCCAGACUCCUACGGGAGGCAGCAGUGGGGAAUAUUGCACAAUGGGGGAAACCCUGAUGCAGCGACGCCGCGUGGAGGAAGAAGGUCUUCGGAUUGUAAACUCCUGUUGUUGAGGAAGAUAAUGACGGUACUCAACAAGGAAGUGACGGCUAACUACGUGCCAGCAGCCGCGGUAAAACGUAGGUCACAAGCGUUGUCCGGAAUUACUGGGUGUAAAGGGAGCGCAGGCGGGCGAUCAAGUUGGAAGUGAAAUCCAUGGGCUCAACCCAUGAACUGCUUUCAAAACUGAUUGUCUUGAGUAGUGCAGAGGUAGGCGGAAUUCCCGGUGUAGCGGUGGAAUGCGUAGAUAUCGGGAGGAACACCAGUGGCGAAGGCGGCCUACUGGGCACCAACUGACGCUGAGGCUCGAAAGUGUGGGUAGCAAACAGGAUUAGAUACCCUGGUAGUCCACACCGUAAACGAUGAUUACUAGGUGUUGGAGGAUUGACCCCUUCAGUGCCGCAGUUAACACAAUAAGUAAUCCACCUGGGGAGUACGACCGCAAGGUUGAAACUCAAAGGAAUUGACGGGGGCCCGCACAAGCAGUGGAGUAUGUGGUUUAAUUCGACGCAACGCGAAGAACCUUACCAAGUCUUGACAUCCUGCGACGAUGCUAGAAAUAGUAUUUUCCUUCGGGACGCAGAGACAGGUGGUGCAUGGUUGUCGUCAGCUCGUGUCGUGAGAUGUUGGGUUAAGUCCCGCAACGAGCGCAACCCUUAUGGUCAGUUACUACGCAAGAGGACUCUGGCCAGACUGCCGUUGACAAAACGGAGGAAGGUGGGGAUGACGUCAAAUCAUCAUGCCCUUUAUGACUUGGGCUACACACGUACUACAAUGGCGUUAAACAAAGAGAAGCAAGACCGCGAGGUGGAGCAAAACUCAGAAACAACGUCCCAGUUCGGACUGCAGGCUGCAACUCGCCUGCACGAAGUCGGAAUUGCUAGUAAUCGUGGAUCAGCAUGCCACGGUGAAUACGUUCCCGGGCCUUGUACACACCGCCCGUCACACCAUGAGAGCCGGGGGGACCCGAAGUCGGUAGUCUAACCGCAAGGAGGACGCCGCCGAAGGUAAAACUGGUGAUUGGGGUGAAGUCGUAACAAGGUAACCGUACUAGUACGGCAGCCC
This 1252-nucleotide ribosomal RNA is filed under the name metagenome. Its description in RNAcentral is "bacterial SSU rRNA". It matches the Rfam family "Bacterial small subunit ribosomal RNA", at positions 242 to 1520 of the family's 1533-position model. The record is from RNAcentral.